UUGCCCAAGAUACAGUUGAAAAACGUGUUUUACAUGAGUCAUUUAACCGGAAUAAUCUUCCUUUGGAUUACUGGAGUCAUUAGGGGGAAAAAAAUACAAAAUCAUGUUGAGCUUUCAGUGGCCAAUGAGAGACCUUCCAGAAGUCUCUUCCCUCCAGAAAGGCAACCAGAAAUUAUCAAAAUAGCAGUUGCUCCAUCAGCCUGAGAACUUGAGUGAUUAUGAGGACAAAGUUCAUGGCUCACUGUGAUGAACUCUACCUGAGGGAAAAAGUUAAAAGAUGAAGAAACAGGAUAAGCAACUGGCUUAACUAGGAAGUUGCUGUGCAGGGAUUCAGAUAAAGUGCUCUCUUUACACUAGAGUGUCUGUCUCAGAGAAAUAUGCA
Pan troglodytes (chimpanzee) is the source of this 382-nucleotide long non-coding RNA. RefSeq lists it as uncharacterized. Lineage: Eukaryota; Metazoa; Chordata; Mammalia; Primates; Hominidae. The record is from RefSeq and is a predicted model, not a curated record. The transcript is spliced from 3 exons.